GAGUUGUAUGAAAGGAGAGAAGGUUAGCACUCUGUUCUAGUGGUCUUUACAACACAUAUGUACUGAAGACAUUGCUCCCUAUUCUGUGGCAUUCAAAUGUGAAAU
Sarcophilus harrisii (Tasmanian devil) is the source of this 105-nucleotide small nuclear RNA. Lineage: Eukaryota; Metazoa; Chordata; Mammalia; Dasyuromorphia; Dasyuridae. The record is from Ensembl.